AAUUCGCCCUUAGAGUUUGAUCAUGGCUCAGAGUGAACGCUGGCGGUAGGCCUAACACAUGCAAGUCGAACGGCAGCACAGUAAGAGCUUGCUCUUAUGGGUGGCGAGUGGCGGACGGGUGAGGAAUACAUCGGAAUCUACUCUGUCGUGGGGGAUAACGUAGGGAAACUUACGCUAAUACCGCAUACGACCUACGGGUGAAAGCAGGGGAUCUUCGGACCUUGCGCGAUUGAAUGAGCCGAUGUCGGAUUAGCUAGUUGGCGGGGUAAAGGCCCACCAAGGCGACGAUCCGUAGCUGGUCUGAGAGGAUGAUCAGCCACACUGGAACUGAGACACGGUCCAGACUCCUACGGGAGGCAGCAGUGGGGAAUAUUGGACAAUGGGCGCAAGCCUGAUCCAGCCAUACCGCGUGGGUGAAGAAGGCCUUCGGGUUGUAAAGCCCUUUUGUUGGGAAAGAAAUCCAGCCGGCUAAUACCU
Molecule: ribosomal RNA, 477 nt
Filed under: uncultured bacterium
Lineage: Bacteria
Description: bacterial SSU rRNA
Rfam family: Bacterial small subunit ribosomal RNA
Source: RNAcentral